Molecule: ribosomal RNA, 482 nt
Filed under: uncultured bacterium
Lineage: Bacteria
Description: partial 16S ribosomal RNA
Rfam family: Bacterial small subunit ribosomal RNA
Source: RNAcentral
AUUGAACGCUGGCGGCAUGCUUUACACAUGCAAGUCGAACGGUAACAGCACUUCGGUGGCUGACGAGUGGCGAACGGGUGAGUAAUACAUCGGAACGUGCCUAGUAGUGGGGGAUAACUACUCGAAAGAGUAGCUAAUACCGCAUGAGAUCUAAGGAUGAAAGCAGGGGACCUUCGGGCCUUGCGCUACUAGAGCGGCUGAUGGCAGAUUAGGUAGUUGGUGGGAUAAAGGCUUACCAAGCCGACGAUCUGUAGCUGGUCUGAGAGGACGACCAGCCACACUGGGACUGAGACACGGCCCAGACUCCUACGGGAGGCAGCAGUGGGGAAUAUUGGACAAUGGGCGCAAGCCUGAUCCAGCAAUGCCGCGUGCAGGAUGAAGGCCUUCGGGUUGUAAACUGCUUUUGUACGGAACGAAAAGCCCUCUUCUAAUACAGGAGGGUCAUGACGGUACCGUAAGAAUAAGCACCGGCUAACUACGUG